This 369-nucleotide ribosomal RNA is filed under the name uncultured organism. RNAcentral describes it as "partial 16S ribosomal RNA". It matches the Rfam family "Bacterial small subunit ribosomal RNA", at positions 527 to 896 of the family's 1533-position model. The record is from RNAcentral.
GUAGGGUGCAAGCGUUAAUCGGAAUUACUGGGCGUAAAGUGUGUGCAGGCGGGUUUGUAAGUCUGUCGUGAAAGCCCCGGGGCUCAACCUGGGAAUUGCGAUGGAGACUGCAAGGCUUGAAUCUGGCAGAGGGGGGUAGAAUUCCACGUGUAGCAGUGAAAUGCGUAGAGAUGUGGAGGAACACCGAUGGCGAAGGCAGCCCCCUGGGUCAAGAUUGACGCUCAUGCACGAAAGCGUGGGGAGCAAACAGGAUUAGAUACCCUGGUAGUCCACGCCCUAAACGAUGUCUACUAGUUGUCGGGUUUAAUUAACUUGGUAACGCAGCUAACGCGUGAAGUAGACCGCCUGGGGAGUACGGUCGCAAGAUUA